GACGAACGCUGGCGGCGUGCUUAACACAUGCAAGUCGAACGGAAAGGUCCGGCUCUUGCGGGUUGCUCGAGUGGCGAACGGGUGAGUAACACGCGAGUAACCUCCCCCUGACUUUGGGAUAACAUCAGGAAACUGGGGCUAAUAUCGGAUAGGAGCUCCUGCUGCAUGUGGUGGGUUGGAAAGUUUCGGCUGUUGGGUAUGGACUGGAGGCUUAUCAGCUUGUUGGUGGGGUAGUGGCUUACCAAGGUUUUGACGGGUAGCCGGCCUGAGAGGGUGGCCGGCCACAUGGGGACUGAGGUAGGGACCAGACUGCUACGGGAGGCAGUGGUGGGGAAUAUUGCACAACGGGCGGAAGCGUGAUGCAGCAGCGCUGCGUGCGGGAUGCCGGCCUUCGGGUUAUAAACCGCUUUGGCCGGUGACGAAGCGUGAGUGACGGUAAUGGGUAAAGAAGCACCGGCUAACUACGUG
This 468-nucleotide ribosomal RNA is filed under the name uncultured bacterium. Its description in RNAcentral is "partial 16S ribosomal RNA". It matches the Rfam family "Bacterial small subunit ribosomal RNA", at positions 28 to 507 of the family's 1533-position model. The record is from RNAcentral.